CCCCUCCAUGAUGCAGGCUAUGGGGUCACAUAAAACUUUGUCCAGGGUUACUACAUAACAUAGCACGACAACUGUAAACUAUGUACUACUGUACUAAAGAACCCCCUGAAUGAUGUAGGCUAUGGGGCCACAUAAGACUUUGUCCAUCCAGGGUUAUAGUGAACGACAAUUUUAAACUAAAGAACCCCCUGAAUGAUGUAGGCUAUGGGGCCACAUAAGACUUUGUGCAUCCAGGGUUACGUUGAACAAGAAAUUUAAACUAAAAGUAAGGAAUUAAUUCACAUACAUUAACUUUUUUACUCUUGAUAUAACUCAAAGUAAGGAAUUAUAAACUAAAAGUAAGGAAUUAAUUAACAUACAUUAACUCUU
Macrobrachium nipponense is the source of this 369-nucleotide long non-coding RNA. RefSeq lists it as uncharacterized. Lineage: Eukaryota; Metazoa; Arthropoda; Malacostraca; Decapoda; Palaemonidae. The record is from RefSeq and is a predicted model, not a curated record. The transcript is spliced from 3 exons.